RNAcentral lists this long non-coding RNA (686 nucleotides) under Nicotiana benthamiana. Its description in RNAcentral is "long non-coding RNA (NBEN_LNC002478)". The record is from RNAcentral. Lineage: Eukaryota; Viridiplantae; Streptophyta; Magnoliopsida; Solanales; Solanaceae.
AACACUGCAGAACGUGCAGCACGAUCCAUUUGCGUACACGCGCUCACUGUGGGGGUUCAAACUCCGGAUGGGCUCCUACAGCCCAAGCGCCAUAUCAUACAAUGCCAAUAGUUACCAUUGUUUCCGUGAGAAUAUAUGGUGCCAAUAGUUACCACCGUUCCAAUAACAAUAUACAGUCCAGAAAAUAAUGAGAUAGUAAUCGUCAGCCCGAAAAAUCAUUUAAGGAUCAUUUAAGUUUCCAAAAACGUAUAAAUAUGGCUGAGUUUGCAAACAAAGAUGUGUUUAAUACCCUGAACUAAAUUCAAAUAAUAUGCAAAUCAUGAUAAUCUUGAAAUAACGAUCCCUGAAGGAUUAUACAAGUCGGCACAAGGCCCCAAAUAUGGCAUUAAGCCCAUAUAGCAUCAAUAUAGUAUGCGAAGCAAUCGCCAACAUAGCAUAAUUUAUCCCUCGGAUUGGACCGAGGUAUAAUUUGCACAUAUACGACCCCGUACUAACCAUGGAGUGCGUGUCUAUCCUCAAAAUAGCGUAACAAUGUGAUACACCGGGGUUUCGAACCCUCGGGUCAUCAUCUACACCCAUUACUCACCUCAACCCGGCCGCCAACUAGCUCGAAAUGCCUUUCCCUCGAGAAUUAAUCUCCGCGAAUGCCAAAUCUGAUCAAAACCAAUAGGAAUACGUCAAAAUAG